This 3740-nucleotide long non-coding RNA is filed under the name Triticum aestivum (bread wheat). RNAcentral's name for it is "long non-coding RNA (TAES_LNC007424)". Lineage: Eukaryota; Viridiplantae; Streptophyta; Magnoliopsida; Poales; Poaceae. The record is from RNAcentral.
UAAGAGAGAUGCGAUCUGUAUCGUUUAGGCUGUGUGCUGUGUAGUGUUCAUCUGAAUAGCAGAGUGAAGGUGUGUUCUGUCUAGCUGUUGAUGUACCUUGUGUUGUUCAUGUUCAUGGAAGAAAUUCAGAAAUCUCUUUGAAUUUCCAAAUAUGCUGCUGUGGCUUCGCCUUGUUGCACUGGAGAUUUGAAUCACUGUAGCGCGAAUUGUUGCCUGUGUCGCCAAAAUUGGCAAACGAUCUUUUACAGACGGCAGUUCGGCUCAUGCUUGUGGAUUCAGUUUACUGUUCAAUUAUUUUCUCCGAGAAAGCAGUAAACUAUGCACACAACCGGACAGUUAGCUGAAUUUGGAUCUAAAGGUAAAAAAAAAAAACUUUCGAUGAAAUUCUGUUGGGAAUUGAAAGUCCUGUCAAUACUUGACAUCGUGCGCUGUGCGGAAGCAAAUAGCAUCCACCACAACGAACGUUUCACGCCACAGAAGUCGUCUUGUCUCAGCUGGACUCUGUGAUCCCUGAAGUUUCCACGGAGGCAGAUGACUCCGGGCUUUACUUGAGCUAGCGGCGUCGCCGUGGAGGCUGUCCAUGGGCUGGGUGCAGGUGCAGCAUGCCCUUCACUACCGGGGGUAAAUUUCCGAACUAGCAAAUCUCUGUAAAUUAUUAGCUCCGUUCGGAAAUAAGUGCGCUGUCAGUGACGUCAAAACGCUCAACCCCGUUGUGAACAGCAACUUUCAUCUUGUUUUUUCUGGCCUGAUGGUUGGCAGCAGCAUGUAAAAACAGGCUGUUUCAUCUCCUGCAACACACCAUCUGAUAUUUGCUCUUCUUCGCCACAUUGCAGUCUGCCAGAGAAUCAGCUUCUCAGGCCUCCUUUGGUUUGUAGGAUUUUUGUAGGAAUUCUAUAGGAUAGGAUUUGCAAAGGAAAAAAAAAUUUGAAGCCCUUUGGUUUGUAGGAAUGGAUUCCUAUUCCUAUGUAGGAUAGGAAUCAAUCUUUCACGUUUUGGAGGGAAAAAAACAUUAGCCUAGACUCAAUGGAAAAAAUCCUAUCCUAUGCAUCAAAUGACAUCUCUUUCUCUAUAGGAAUUGACAUGCAUGUCAUCUCACUUCCUUUCCUAUUCCUAUAAAAUUCCUAUCCUAUGAACCAAAGAAGGCCUCAGCCUUUGCCGAAGCAAACUUACUGAAGGUUAACUCUAAAAUAGAGAAAGGCCUCCUUUCUUCUACUGCCUUGAGAUGAUCAACAACCCAUUUGUUAUUGUCAAUUGGGAACCGCGAGUAGCCUUUUGACGGCUCCAAUUCCCGAGAGCAGCCUUGAUGCGCCCCAAUUUGAAGGUGAUUAGUGAGGUUGACGAACUGAUGUGCCUGGUGCCCCUAGUCCAUCCUUCCUGUAUAACGUUUCUGGUUUCCUCCAUGUCCACCCAGUGGUUUUCAAACCGAAAUAAUCUGCAUUUUUGUGUGUCCUUGUUAAACCCCACCAGGAUGGGUGUGUGAUCCGAUGUAAUAACAGUCUCAACCCUAGCAGAAGUUUGAAGGAAGCAUAAAUUCCAAUCCGCAUUGACAAGCACCCUGUCUAGACCAGAGUAGGAUUCCUCUCUUAUUUGACCAGGUAAAAAUUUCUAUUGGCGAUGUCAAUGUCAUUCAGAGCAUUUGUCUCUCAUCCAGGUGUCGAAAACAUCCAUUAGUUUCCAAUUGAUACGGCCACUGAAAUUCUCAUGAUCAUAUCUAUACAUGUUAAAAUCUCCCAGAAUCAUCCAGGGUUCAUUGACAGAGCAGGCAAGUAAAAAAACACUUGUCCACAUCGCCAAGACAACGAACGUUUCAGUUUAGGAAUUUCAUCAGAGCAGUAAAAAAACACGCCUUAUACUUCGGUACACCCCCCUUACAAGUUUACACGAAUCUUAAAGUUACUUAUUAAAAAGGCUAUCGCCAUAUUAGCCUGCAGAUGAAAUGUAUAGAAUAGAUUUAUUUGGAUGCAAAAGACUAUAUUAUUUUUAUUGAUUGAAGGGGUACCUUCUAAUCUUCACCUUUAAUCUGCAUUAAAAUCCGUAAACUUUUAGGUGUACCGAAGCAAAGUUCGUAGUAUUAAGCUGGAACGAAGCAGAGGAGGAUGAUUGCAGAGAGCAGUGUGAACAAGGCAUCAAAAGGCAACAACUUCAUUCCCAGAUGGACUAACAGAGUACAAAGUCGAAACGAUGAUGCCGUACAGGCUCUGAAGGAGUAACACACUGAAGGACACAAGCAAAAUAUAACUGCUAUCUGCUCGACAAUCCAUGGGAGCCGAAGCAAAAUCAAUGACACUUGAAUUGAAAAGGAAGGCACAGGACACUGACGAAGCAGAGGUACCUCUGAAGAGCACAUGUAUCCACAUGUAUGGGCGCACCUAUGCCUCGCUUAUAGCAAGCCAUAGGUUGCGGUCGCGUCAGGCUUCUCACUAAAUGAGCCGGCCCAGCGUGGGAGGCCACUGGCUUGUUUUUUUUCGUGUUCUUUAUUUUUUGAAACUUUCAAAUAAUUUAAAUAUACAUUACAGAAACACUUUACAUAAAGCAUUUUAUAGAAAAAUGUUAAUUAAGCAAUUUAAAAGUUAAAUGUGUAUGAAGAAAAUGUUUCUCAUAUAUACAAAAAAUAUACAAUGUGUAUCAAAAAUGUUGACCAUGAAUUUAAAACAUGUUUAUCAAACAUUUGAAAAAAAUAUUAAUCAUGUAUUCGAAAAAAAUUAAUCAAGCUUUUGAAGAAUGUUAAAUGUGUAUAGAAAAAUGUUUUACAUCUAUACGAGAACUAUAUAUAAAACAAAACAAAUGUGUACGAAAAAUGUUGAUCAUCUGGUUAGAAAAUGUUAAAUGUGUAUAGAGAAAAUGUUUCUCACAUAUAUGAAAAAUGUAUACAAGAAAUAUACAAUAUGUAUGAAAACGUGAUCACAUUUUUUUAAAUGUUAAUCCAGCAUUUGAUGAAAAAUGAUAAUCAAGUAUUUAAAAAUAUAUUAUUGAAGCAUUUGAAAAAUGCUAAAUGUGUAUUAAAAAAUGUUUGUCAUGUAUACGAAAAUAUAUACAAAACAAAUACAAUGUGUAUGAAAAAUGUUGAUCAUGGUUUUAAAAAUAUAUUAAAUGUGUAUGUAAAACAUGUACUGGAAGUAUACAAAAAAUGUAUACUGUGUGUGGAAAACUGUUUAUUGCCAUUAAAAAAUUUCACCGCGUAUUGAAAAAUGUAGACCAUGUGUUAGAAAACACAUUAAUCUUGUAUGUACAAGAUGUUAAACGUGUAUAUAAAAAUGUACUAGAGAUAUAAUAUAAAUGUACAAUAUGUAUGACAAAUAUUAAUAAUAAAAAAAAUUAGUUAUGAAAAACUGUUAAUAAUAUAUUUUAGUAAUAUUAAAUAUGUAUAUAAAUAUGUUUCUGAUGUAUACAAAAAAAUGUAGAAUGUGUACAGAAAAAUGUUCGCAUGUGUUGAAAAAAAGAAAUCGUUGAAAAUCGACAAGAGAAACAAAGAAACCCAAUAAAAACAAAAAAACCAAAAAAUGAAAGAAAAGCAAUGCAAAAGAAUGGAUGCAACGAAAACCAAGAAAGAAACAAGAAAAAAAAUGAAGAAAGCCGAUGAAAACCAGGAAAGAAAUAAAGAAAACCAAAGUAAAAUGAAAAAAAUAGGAAAUUAAAGAAAAAACCCAAUGAAAAUGAAGAAAGAACAAAAUAAAACUGAAAAAAGAAAAUAAAAAAGAAUUAAAGACAGGAAUAGAACGAAGAAAACCUGUAAAAAAUAA